AGUACUUUCAGUAUUUAUGUCUUAUUUGGGGACCCUUGAGUCUGGAAUUGUACCCUCAAGCUUGGUGCUAAAGAAUCAUCUCAUACUUAGAGCAUCUGUAUUUUCACAGCAGGUACUCUGUCCAAGAAAGAAGUGUGAGGAAAAACAUCAGCCACAGAAAAUGCAUCCCCAGGUCACAAUCUAGGAAGCUAGCACACCAAAAACCCUGACAGAAACUACAGAAGUAGGUCAACUGCAAAGAUGCUGUGAGAGCCUACAUUCGUUCUUGAGGAAUAAAUUUCAUUCAAUAAGGAAGUUUAAACCAAGCUGGAAAGGUGUACAGCACUGGAUGAAGGGCAGCGAUGCUGUUUCCCAUGGUGAGAAAGAGACAGCGGCUUUGCGUCACCAAGGUCAGUCCCUGAACUAUUGAGGAUGGAGCUGCCUGUUUUUAAAAGGGCAAUCCCACCAGAUACAGAAUCCCAGUUCAGCUGCAGAGAAGUGGACAUUUUCUGAGCCAAGUCUCCUGUUCCUCUUGCCAGCCAGGGGUCAGCAAGAGUGUCAGUCACAACUCCAGUCUGUGACAUGUGAGAUAUCUGCUAGUUCUGCUGGGGGCAUUUUCCUCCAUCUUAAGAUGGAUCAUAAAAUGAGGAUGAAAUGGCCUCAGUGUUGUCUGCGGAUGGCCCCGUUGAACCGCAUCAGCCACCUUACAGUCACGAGGGAGCAGCUUGAUGACAAAAGGCAGAAAGAAAAGAUGAGGGGAACUUGGCCCUUGAUAUCUGCAGAGCCACUCAAUUAACUUCCCCCAGGGACCUGUUCUUCCUCCGAGCUUUUUUAUGAGGGAAGAUGACCUCUCUUUAUUGUUCAGUCAUUUGAGUUGAGCUCCG
Non-coding RNA from Odocoileus virginianus texanus, 863 nucleotides. Lineage: Eukaryota; Metazoa; Chordata; Mammalia; Artiodactyla; Cervidae. The record is from RefSeq and is a predicted model, not a curated record.